ACGGAGGGUGCAAGCGUUGUUCGGAAUCACUGGGCGUAAAGGGCGCGUAGGCGGUUUGAUAAGUCAGAUGUGAAAGCCCACGGCUUAACUGUGGAAGUGCAUUUGAAACUGUCAGACUUGAGUAUCAGAGGGGAGAAUGGAAUUCCCGGUGUAGCGGUGAAAUGCGUAGAUAUCGGGAGGAAUACCGAUGGCGAAGGCGACUACCUGGCCCAAUACUGACGCUGAUGCGCGAAAGCGUGGGGAGCAAACAG
RNAcentral lists this ribosomal RNA (251 nucleotides) under uncultured prokaryote. Its description in RNAcentral is "partial 16S rRNA". It matches the Rfam family "Bacterial small subunit ribosomal RNA", at positions 525 to 775 of the family's 1533-position model. The record is from RNAcentral.